Molecule: long non-coding RNA, 2794 nt
Organism: Sceloporus undulatus (fence lizard)
Lineage: Eukaryota; Metazoa; Chordata; Lepidosauria; Squamata; Phrynosomatidae
Exons: 2
Source: RefSeq, a predicted model, not a curated record
GCCGGGGAAGAAGGAGCCCAGGCAGGCAGGCAGGCAGAGGGAGGGGACGCUCUCGGGCCCAGGCGCAGCGGAGGCGGCAGCAGCAGCAGCAGCAGCAGCCUCGCCUUGGCCUCGCCAGCCGGACCCUCCCUCCGUUCCUGCCCUGGGUGCCUUGGGAGUUCCCGCCCCGCUCUCCGCUACCUCACAAAUAUUAACAACAAUAGCAAGCAGGUAUGACAGGUUCGUCUAGACAGCCGUCCCUCUUAAAAUGCAAAUGAAGGAUACUUAUUGCAGGAGAGGCAGAUGGAUAUAAUUCACAGCCGCAAAGGAAGCUGCAGAACGGAACAGCAAUUUGGUCAGGCAGGAGAGUGAUCCUCAGAUGGAAGUACUAGCAACAAAGCAGACUAUCCGAAUGUAGUUUACCUAGAUGGAAGGUAGAGAGUUCUGCUUGGACUGCUUUGCCAGGAGCGGAAGGAAAGAACUUGUAGCUUCAGCAGACUUGCAGGACAGCCAGAUGUCACUGGAAUGGGACUCCAUGAAAACUAUUUAAAACUCAUUUUCCUUUCCCUCCCCCCAUUAGUUCUUUUUUGUUUCCUUGAGGUGUUUUUAUCAUACAGGCCUCUUGUCAAUCUGGGUUUUGCUAGAUUUGUUGUGUCUAAGCAGUGGGCAUACAGAAUGCCUUCUUGUCCAUUGUGUGUUCUUCCAGAUGAAGCUUUUAUGAUGUAAUCUCCUUGCUUCAUUCAUAGGAUCUUGUACAGGAUGGUUUCAAACAGUGAUGUGCCCCAUUUUUAGCCCUCUCGCAUUUUUGUGCCACUACUACUUUUUUUUUCUUACUAUAGAAAGCAUGUUCAGGAAAGAUGAGAAAGGCAUGCAAUGCCUUUUGACUGGUGGCACUAAAAGCCACUUGUCUGCAAACACCUUAGAUGAUUCAAGUCACAUUUCUUUAGCCUCUCUACUGGAUCUCUUUGGAACACCUGAUAUCUUGGUGUGUAGACUAUUCCAGCAUUCUUCAUGCUGGACUUGGGCUAGGGUGCCCAUUUUCUUUUUUUAAGAAAGAACGAAGGGCCGGAACAGAUGGCCCUUUAAAGCUGCUGUCCAGGUGGCUUGGGAGUGUGGCAUUUAUAUACUGCACUCUCCCAUGCUGCCCUGAAGCUGCCCAAAAGUCAGGUACCUGCCCAAAUGUGGAUGCCUUCAAGCCGCUCCGGUGGCACGCCAUUUAUACGCCACAUGCCGCCAGAGCACCUUGAAGCCACAAUGGGGCUGCAGCAUGGCAGGAAAAGUCACCUUCUCCCCACCAAAAAAGGAUUGAAUCUUUGCCACUCCUUUUUUGGCUGGCUUCAUGGUGGAUUGGGGCUGUGGUGUGUGUUCGCUGUGGCCUCAGUCUGUCUGUUUCAAGCCACCCCUUCUGCCCAUCUGUUUCACCCCAUAGUGACUAAAUGAUUGUAAUAAAUAAUGUGUAUGUGAUGGAACAAGAAGACUACAGUACAGCAGAACAUUCAGCCCAGGCUUCCUAGAUGCCAGUGUUGUGCUUUCAAACAUAGAAUUGUCUAUCAUUUUUCAAUAGUUCUUCAAAGCGAGAAGAAGAACAUAUUGUAAGUGAAUGUGGAAACUUUAAAGCUGUGGCUUGGCACCUGAGACAUUUUAUCCUCUAUGACUCCUGGAACAAAGGAAGCAAUAUGGUAACCCUUUCUGAGCUCUCAGUGCCUUAUGGAUAUUAGCUCUUGCUUCAGCAUGUCAUUGCAGAAUUGUAAGCAGAGUCCAGGAAUCCCAAUUAAACUCUUUCCUGGCUUAUUUUACCUUGUGAAUAACAUCCCAUUGGUUCUACUCAAACUAAAAUAGCCCCUUUUGAAAAUUUUCUGUGCAACAGGGAUGGAGGAUGUUUAGUGAAGCAAAUGUUAGACUGCAGCUUCUUCAUCAUUCGUCACUGGCUGUGCUGGCUAGAGCAGAUAGGAGUUGCAAUCUAGUAAUAUCUGGAAGGCCACACAUUCCUCAUUCUUGAUGUAGAAGAGUAAUGGGCAAGGCAGAGAACAUGUUUACCACUUGCUGCUUUUAUCACUGUCUUAUAAGUUAUCAUUAUCUUAUUUAUAUAUUUUAAAAGUAUUAUUGAUUUUUUUAUUUGCAAAUAUAAAAAAAAUAAGUGGGAAGAGAAAAAGAAAGCAAAGGGAGGGAAAUACAUAGGAUUGUUAGGAUAUUGUCAAUGGAACAGCCAUAUAAGCACCUUCUUGAAGAUGGAAUCUAGAAAGAGCACAUUUGUGGAUAGAUAAAGCAGCAAGGUACUCUGAACAUUGAAUAAUGGAUUUUAUUUGUCUUUCCAUUCCUGAAAUAUGUUUUUGGUUGUGGUUUUUUGGUUGUUUGUUUGUUUGUUUGUUUGCUAUACCACGAGCACAAAAUAACCACAGGUUAAGUUCCAAAUUACAGGAAUAAAGUUUAAAAAUACAUAAACACAUACAAAUAUCAAAUAUUUUCCUAAUGCAAAAUUAAUAAGCCACAAUACAUCCAAUCAACCAGAGAGCAACCACCACUGGACAUGCCCACUUGAUAUGUCACGGGGGCUAGAGCCAUUUAUUACUGUGGUACUGAAGGACUCACAGUAUUUAGUAUUUGCUGUUUUAGUCAUCACUUUAUUUGAAAUCACAGUUGUGAAUGACAUCUGGGAAUUUAGAGAAGACAGACCAAUAUUAACAUGAGCCAAUAUUGUGGGCUCCCUGAACAUCAAGGACCUGAUUAAUAUUCCUUUUCUGCACUUCAAAACAGUAUAUUAUUGCCAUAGCAAGAGAAUUCAACUGUUUUUAAGGAAAUAAAUUGCAGAAAUUAA